Molecule: ribosomal RNA, 466 nt
Filed under: uncultured bacterium
Lineage: Bacteria
Description: partial 16S ribosomal RNA
Rfam family: Bacterial small subunit ribosomal RNA
Source: RNAcentral
GACGAACGCUGGCGUCGUGCUUAACACAUGCAAGUCGAACGGAAAGGCCCUGCUUGCCGGGUACUCGAGUGGCGAACGGGUGAGUAACACGUGGGUGAUCUGCCCUGCACUUCGGGAUAAGCCUGGGAAACUGGGUCUAAUACCGGAUAGGAGCCAUUUUUAGUGUGAUGGUUGGAAAGUUUUUUUCGGUGUAGGAUGAGCUCGCGGCCUAUCAGCUUGUUGGUGGGGUAAUGGCCUACCAAGGCGGCGACGGGUAGCCGGCCUGAGAGGGUGGACGGCCACAUUGGGACUGAGAUACGGCCCAGACUCCUACGGGAGGCAGCAGUGGGGAAUAUUGCACAAUGGGCGCAAGCCUGAUGCAGCGACGCCGUGUGGGGGAUGACGGCCUUCGGGUUGUAAACUCCUUUCGCUAGGGACGAAGCUUUUUGUGACGGUACCUAGAUAAGAAGCACCGGCUAACUACGUG